UACGUAGGGUGCAAGCGUUGUCCGGAAUUAUUGGGCGUAAAGAGCUCGUAGGCGGUGUGUCGCGUCGGCCGUGAAAACCUGGGGCUCAACUCUGGGCGUGCGGUCGAUACGGGCAUCACUUGAGUUCGGCAGGGGAGACUGGAAUUCCUGGUGUAGCGGUGAAAUGCGCAGAUAUCAGGAGGAACACCGGUGGCGAAGGCGGGUCUCUGGGCCGAUACUGACGCUGGGGAGCGAAAGCAUGGGUAGCGAACAGG
Molecule: ribosomal RNA, 254 nt
Filed under: uncultured bacterium
Lineage: Bacteria
Description: partial 16S ribosomal RNA
Rfam family: Bacterial small subunit ribosomal RNA
Source: RNAcentral